Drosophila navojoa is the source of this 578-nucleotide long non-coding RNA. The record is from RefSeq and is a predicted model, not a curated record. NCBI's taxonomy places the organism in Eukaryota, Metazoa, Arthropoda, Insecta, Diptera, Drosophilidae.
UCGCUGCCGUUGCUUUUGCUGUCGCAGUUACAGUUCGUCCUGGGCCAGCUUUAGGAUUUGUCGACGUCGCUGGCACUUGGCGCAGUUUUCGCGAUUUGUCUGCGGCUUUGCACGGACGUCGCCAGCGUCAACGUCAGCGUCGCGGGUCGUGGACGACGUUGCCGUUACUUUAACCGUUUCAUCUUGUUGUUGUUACGUUUUUGGCUUUUUGUUUUUGUUUUUUUUCUUCUGUUUUUUGUUUGUUUUGUAUUUCGGCUGUGGUUUUGUUUGAUUGUUUUAGUUUAGUUAGGCGAAUCAAACGAAAUUUUAGCACAUUUACCGUUAUAAUAACGUGCUUCCUUGUCGAUAGAGGUCUGUUAUUGUGUGUGUGCGUGUGUGUGUCGUGCGUUUUUUUUUCUGCUCUUGUCGGUGUGUUUGGGCUGUGUUUUUUUUUGCCAUCAGUUUUCGCGAUUUUUCGUCGUCUGCGUCGCGUGCAGCAAAGUUCCAUUAAAAUAACAAAUAUAAAAGUUAUUAACGUUUUGUAGACACGCAACAUCAACUCGUUUCUGUUCUAGUGGAGGCAUAUAUAGAGGUAUACA